Molecule: long non-coding RNA, 969 nt
Organism: Drosophila willistoni
Lineage: Eukaryota; Metazoa; Arthropoda; Insecta; Diptera; Drosophilidae
Exons: 2
Source: RefSeq, a predicted model, not a curated record
UCAAUCAAAUUCUCUCUUUCAUCGAUCGUUUCUAUAGACGCUAUAUGCAUAUAGUAGUUCGGUCUUAAUGAAUUGACACUUGACUGUGUGGUAAACUAUUUUUCGAUAAAAAAAAUUUGAAAAACACGCCUUGUUUAUUCUGUCAAUUUGAACAAAAAGCAAGCAAAACAAAUUCGGGACAUUUAGUUCAGUUUUUUUUAGUUUUUUAGGGAAGGCAGACCAGUUAGGAUUGGGCGUUUUUACUUGAAAUUUGUUUUAGAUGUUAUUAGAAGUAAAAAAAAAAAAAAACAAAAUGCAAAGAUCUAAUUUUGGCUUGUUGUGAAAUUCAAAAUUAAAGAGUUGACUUCUUGCAACCUCCAGCCCAGAUGUCCCAUGCUAAGAUUUCCUGGCGACGUACGUAAGCAGCACAGGACGGCUUGCCUUUACAGAAAGAGCCAAUCAAAUGAAUAAUGAAGACAAGGAUGCCCACUUUGAGGACAUUGAAGAGCCAUUCGAGAGAUGAUCUAUUCGAGGAUCAAAAACAUGUGGCUAUGGCUGCUUUCUUUAUAUGCGACAAUGAAUAUCGAUGGUCUCCUUAGUUAUCUGGGCGAGAAGAAGGAAGGAGAAUAGCAAAGCCUUCCAUUCUCUGGCCGACAAAGGACCCUUCUCAAAUGUUGGACGAAGGCGUUGCAGAGUAUGCUGACUAUUUUGACUAUUAUGGUUACAGUUCCGGACAAGGUGGUACCUGAAUUGAGUGAUGGAAUAUCAAUUGCGUUUCACGAAUCCGACUGAAAAUUGCAUCAUCUACAUUUAAUGAAGUGGGUUUAGUCCGGAAAGCAGAAGCAUUGUGGGGCUCAGAUUCAGAUACAUUGGACGACCGACGAGCGAGUCUAUUCCAGUUUUAUAAUCGCCGUUUGUUAGAAGUAAAAACCAAAAAACUUGCAGUUUAAAUAAAAAGCCACGCAAGCCAUUUAGACACUUCAAAGUCAA